GAAAGCCUGACGGAGCAAUACCGCGUGAGGGAGGAAGGCUCUUGGGUUGUAAACCUCUUUUCUCAGGGAAGAACAAAAUGACGGUACCUGAGGAAUAAGCAUCGGCUAACUCCGUGCCAGCAGCCGCGGUAAUACGGAGGAUGCAAGCGUUAUCCGGAAUGAUUGGGCGUAAAGCGUCCGCAGGUGGCWWMUCAAGUCUGCUGUUAAAGGUUGGGGCUCAACCCCGAACRRGCAGUGGAAACUGGGUAGCUAGAGUGCGRUAGGGGYAGAGGGAAUUCCCAGUGUAGCGGUGAAAUGCGUAGAGAUUGGGAAGAACACCGGUGGCGAAA
Molecule: ribosomal RNA, 329 nt
Filed under: uncultured cyanobacterium
Lineage: Bacteria; Bacillati; Cyanobacteriota
Description: partial 16S ribosomal RNA
Rfam family: Bacterial small subunit ribosomal RNA
Source: RNAcentral